AACGAACGCUGGCGGCAUGCCUAACACAUGCAAGUCGAACGAACCUUUCGGGGUUAGUGGCGCACGGGUGCGUAACGCGUGGGAAUCUGCCCUUAGGUACGGAAUAACUCAGGGAAACUUGUGCUAAUACCGUAUGAUGUCUUCGGACCAAAGAUUUAUCGCCUAGGGAUGAGCCCGCGUUGGAUUAGCUAGUUGGUGGGGUAAAGGCCUACCAAGGCGACGAUCCAUAGCUGGUCUGAGAGGAUGAUCAGCCACACUGGGACUGAGACACGGCCCAGACCCCUACGGGAGGCAGCAGUGGGGAAUAUUGGACAAUGGGCGCAAGCCUGAUCCAGCAAUGCCGCGUGAGUGAUGAAGGCCUUAGGGUUGUAAAGCUCUUUUACCCGGGAAGAUAAUGACUGUACCGGGAGAAUAAGCCCCGGCUAACUCCGUGCCAGCAGCCGCGGUAAUACGGAGGGGGCUAGCGUUGUUCGGAAUUACUGGGCGUAAAGCGUACGUAGGCGGCUUUGUAAGUUAGAGGUGAAAGCCCGGGGCUCAACCCCGGAAUUGCCUUUAAGACUGCAUCGCUUGAACGUCGGAGAGGUGAGUGGAAUUCCGAGUGUAGAGGUGAAAUUCGUAGAUAUUCGGAAGAACACCAGUGGCGAAGGCGGCUCACUGGACGACUGUUGACGCUGAGGUACGAAAGCGUGGGGAGCAAACAGGAUUAGAUACCCUGGUAGUCCACGCCGUAAACGAUGAUAACUAGCUGUCCGGGCACUUGGUGCUUGGUGGCGCAGCUAACGCAUUAAGUUAUC
RNAcentral lists this ribosomal RNA (794 nucleotides) under uncultured bacterium. RNAcentral describes it as "bacterial SSU rRNA". It matches the Rfam family "Bacterial small subunit ribosomal RNA", at positions 28 to 869 of the family's 1533-position model. The record is from RNAcentral.